AAUUAAUUGGUUGCAACAUGAUACACAUUCUUCUGGAUGUUUAGCAAAUAUCACAUUCCGCUUUGAGUCUCUAGCCACGACUCCCGACCAACAUUACGUAGUAUCCUACACAAUGAACAAUAAUCAUUAACCACUACUACAUUUUUAACCAAAUACAACGGGUAAAUCACAACUAAUGCAACAUUUUUUCAAAAGCCGUUGUAAUAGAUGCGCCUAAUGCACCGGUAUAGUCCAAUUUUUCUGAAACGUUGUAAUAGAGUGGCUAAUGCAACGACCUCUGCAACGGCUACCAUCUGAUAAGGCUAAUGCAACGGUUAUGUUAGCUUGUCACACACUCGUACUAAUUGAUCUUAAACCUAGCCCACCCAAACACUUUCCCCAAAUUAUUUCAAAACCCAGUUCCCGAAGAGAGAGAAAAAGAAAAGGAGAGAGAAACCCUAAUUUCCUUUCCCAUUCCUCUAAACCUAAACCCCCAAUUCAAUCUUCUGCAUCGAUUUUUUCUUCUUUAUUGUUUUUUUGAUGGAGUAGAUCUGGUUGGGGAAUAGGGAGCCGAAAGUUCAAGCCUCAUCUCUGGUUGUAUUCGAUGUGGUUGCUUCACGGUCGCUAGGUAGAGAAAGCAUUCAAUGGAGGCAUGUUGGUUUGGAGAUAGAGGAAUUCACAACUAUUACAAAAUGAUGACGGGCUUCACUUGAGUUUUAUGGCAAAUGAUAGUAAAUCUCAAAAAUGUAUGAAGUAUUAUAUCUUGGGCUUAGUUUUUUGGCCUUUUCUCUGUUGGAACUUCCUUUCGUAGCUAAUUUAGUAGCAAUUCAUUUUGUAAACCCACUGAAGGGAAAUGUUAGAUUGUAUGUACAUUUCCAAUCUCAAUGGAAUAUCAUUAUCGUUUUUAAAA
Molecule: long non-coding RNA, 889 nt
Organism: Spinacia oleracea (spinach)
Lineage: Eukaryota; Viridiplantae; Streptophyta; Magnoliopsida; Caryophyllales; Amaranthaceae
Exons: 2
Source: RefSeq, a predicted model, not a curated record